Molecule: ribosomal RNA, 440 nt
Filed under: uncultured soil bacterium
Lineage: Bacteria
Description: bacterial SSU rRNA
Rfam family: Bacterial small subunit ribosomal RNA
Source: RNAcentral
AGAACGAACGCUGGCGGCAUGCCUAAUACAUGCAAGUCGAACGAACUCUUCGGAGUUAGUGGCGCACGGGUGCGUAACGCGUGGGAAUCUGCCCCUUGGUUCGGAAUAACAGUUGGAAACGACUGCUAAUACCGGAUGAUGACGAAAGUCCAAAGAUUUAUCGCCAAGGGAUGAGCCCGCGUAGGAUUAGCUAGUUGGUGAGGUAAAGGCUCACCAAGGCAACGAUCCUUAGCUGGUCUGAGAGGAUGAUCAGCCACACUGGGACUGAGACACGGCCCAGACUCCUACGGGAGGCAGCAGUAGGGAAUAUUGGACAAUGGGCGAAAGCCUGAUCCAGCAAUGCCGCGUGAGUGAUGAAGCUUAGGUUGUAAAGCUCUUUACCGAGAUGAUAAUGACAGUAUCGGAGAAUAAGCCCCGGCUAACUCCGUGCUAGCAGCCGC